This 358-nucleotide long non-coding RNA is filed under the name Mustela putorius furo (domestic ferret). RNAcentral describes it as "lncRNA (ENSMPUG00000029360.1)". The record is from RNAcentral. Lineage: Eukaryota; Metazoa; Chordata; Mammalia; Carnivora; Mustelidae.
AUUGGCAUCUUCUGGCUAUACCAGCUGAGUCAGGGCUUUCUAUUUCGUAGGAGCCACACAACAUUAGCCUGUUAUAAGGCUUCCUCGAGGAGUACAGGAAAGUGAGCAAGGGGAAGACCCUGACAGAAGGAACACCAGUUGGGGGGCAGCUCUUUCUCCUGGAGGUGUCCACCCUCAGAGUGGAGAAGACCUGGUUCCAGUGAAGACAUGAAGUGAAGGGAAGUGAAGAAAAGGGAAGUAAGUGACAACAACCCAAAGAACUGAAGAGUUUGCUUCACGUACCUACAGAGUCAUCUUACUGUUCACUGGUCCCGCACCUCUGACUAGAAUGUAAUCUAGAAUGUAAACUAGAAUCCAA